GACCUGUGAGAGAACCAAACAUGAUCAAGGGAGAAAGCGUUGUUAGACAGGAACUCAGUGGAUUGGACAAGCAAAUGUCACAGUUAGACUCUGAGCUCAAGCAAGCUUCUGUAACAAUUGUCCCCGGUUGGUGGAAAAAGGACAUUCAGUGUCUUAAAAAGCAGAAUGAAGUUUUUAUGAAAGCUACUUUUUUGAGCUUUAAUGUCAAGGAGUGGAUAAUUGAAAACGAUCUACUUGUACAUCGCUUAAAAAAGGAUUGCAGUAAAUCGACAAUUCAAGAAGUGUUGGAUAACUUUACAUCUCUGCUGGAAAGAGUGCAAGGUCUGCCACCAGAGUCUUCAUUUAUUUGCUAUGAACAAGCAAUUGCAUAUAAUUUGAGCCACUUGCUGUUACGUGGGCACAUAAAUAUACUUGUUGGUGGGAUUCACAAGAGUACUACCAUUCUUCACAGAAGCCUCUCUCGAGCUUUUGAGGCAUUCAAAAUAGAACGUCACCAAGAGACAGUGGUAGAAUCAGGAGAUCCAGCUGAGCGGGAUCUGUUCAGUCCAGAAAACAUUGAGCACACUCUGGAUAUCCUGCUGCCAUCAUUGUUUAAAGCAGUACAAGAUGAAAGUAUUGGAUGUGCUCCUCUUGUGUUAAGUAGCUGCCUGCUGGCAUUUCUGUGGUUACUUGAUGAAGAAGUUGACAAGGCUGUGGACCUUCUUCAGCUGAUGCAAAGGCAAUUAAAACAUUUGGAAGAAGUUAACUUGAGCUCCACAGAGCAGGUACCUUCCAGUAGAGACCCUGUGUGCCUUUUCAGCUUGGAGUACAUCCCAUCAAUCACCAACUGUGUGAUAACAUCAUCAACAAAAGACUUGACAGGCAAGAAAGCAUGUUGUUAAGAGAAGAGAUCAGUCAGCAGUAUACAGUAUGUUCGUCAUAUAUAGCAUAGCUACCACAAGUCUCCUAUAACCAUGAUUUUUUUUUUUGAACAGUGUCUAGAAGGUCUUAGCUUUUAUUAACUCUGGCUGAAAGAAUUCAGAAAUUCUUUGCAGAGUACAUGUAAGCUUCUUGUAUCACUGAUUAAUUGAAACUUCUGCCUUAAUCACCAUCAGGCUUAAUGUAUACCAUUAUUUCUUUCAUCAAGUUUAUCAUAGUGCUUAAAUCAAGACGAGAUGGGUACAGUGUGGGGUGUUGGAAAGUUUAAUGGUAAAAUUGAAAGGAAAGAUGUGCCUCCUGAAUGCCCCCCUCUCCACCCCACUGGUUUUCCCUGAUCUUUUUUCCGUUUUUGUGUGGUGGAUUUUUUCAUUUGUUUCCAUUGAUCCAUAUUUUUAAUUUAACAGUUGAUCGCUGAAAAGCAAGGAUGAUAAACAGUUUAUUAAAAUUAAAGCAACUCUUUCAGAUUCUUGUAUGAGCAUUGGCUUGAUUUCCAUUUGCUGUCCGGGAAACAAGCCCGUGCUCCUCUCUCUCAGGGAGGAUCAAAGGCCCAGCACAAGAGAGUUGCGGAAAUCGAGCUUGAUGUACAGAACUUGUUGUCAGUGGUGACUAGUCUGUUGGCAUUUGCUCACUUCACAAAGGAGAACUAUGAUAGAGUCUUGGAAACACUUGCU
Molecule: unclassified non-coding RNA, 1589 nt
Filed under: Orbicella faveolata
Lineage: Eukaryota; Metazoa; Cnidaria; Anthozoa; Scleractinia; Merulinidae
Description: uncharacterized LOC110060364, transcript variant X2
Source: RNAcentral